Molecule: ribosomal RNA, 496 nt
Filed under: uncultured bacterium
Lineage: Bacteria
Description: partial 16S ribosomal RNA
Rfam family: Bacterial small subunit ribosomal RNA
Source: RNAcentral
GAUGAACGCUGGCGGCGUGCCUAAUACAUGCAAGUCGAGCGAACAGACGAGGAGCUUGCUCCUCUGACGUUAGCGGCGGACGGGUGAGUAACACGUGGAUAACCUACCUAUAAGACUGGGAUAACUUCGGGAAACCGGAGCUAAUACCGGAUAAUAUAUUGAACCGCAUGGUUCAAUAGUGAAAGACGGUUUUGCUGUCACUUAUAGAUGGAUCCGCGCCGCAUUAGCUAGUUGGUAAGGUAACGGCUUACCAAGGCAACGAUGCGUAGCCGACCUGAGAGGGUGAUCGGCCACACUGGAACUGAGACACGGUCCAGACUCCUACGGGAGGCAGCAGUAGGGAAUCUUCCGCAAUGGGCGAAAGCCUGACGGAGCAACGCCGCGUGAGUGAUGAAGGUCUGCGGAUCGUAAAACUCUGUUAUUAGGGAAGAACAAAUGUGUAAGUAACGAUGCACGUCUUGACGGUACCUAAUCAGAAAACCACGGCUAACUACGU